GACGAACGCUGGCGGCGUGCUUAACACAUGCAAGUCGAACGGUAAGGCCCUUCGGGGUACACGAGUGGCGAACGGGUGAGUAACACGUGGUGAUCUGCCCUGCACUUCGGGAUAAGCCUGGGAAACUGGGUCUAAUACCGGAUAGGACCCUGGGAUGCAUGUCCUAGGGUGGAAAGCUUUUGCGGUGUGGGAUGGGCCCGCGGCCUAUCAGCUUGUUGGUGGGGUGAUGGCCUACCAAGGCGACGACGGGUAGCCGGCCUGAGAGGGGGACAGGCCGAACUGGGACUGGGGUACGGCCCAGAGUCCUACGGGAGGCAGGAGUGGGGAAUGUUGCACAAUGGGCGCAAGCCUGAUGCAGCGACGCCGCGUGAGGGAUGACGGCCUUCGGGUUGUAAACCUCUUUCAGCACCGACGAAGCGCAAGUGACGGUAGGUGCAGAAGAGGGACCGGCCAACUACGUGCCAGCCGCCGCCGUAA
This 477-nucleotide ribosomal RNA is filed under the name uncultured bacterium. RNAcentral's name for it is "partial 16S ribosomal RNA". It matches the Rfam family "Bacterial small subunit ribosomal RNA", at positions 28 to 523 of the family's 1533-position model. The record is from RNAcentral.